Molecule: ribosomal RNA, 497 nt
Filed under: uncultured bacterium
Lineage: Bacteria
Description: partial 16S ribosomal RNA
Rfam family: Bacterial small subunit ribosomal RNA
Source: RNAcentral
GAUGAACGCUGGCGGCGUGCCUAAUACAUGCAAGUCGAGCGAACGGACGAGAAGCUUGCUUUUCUGAUGUUAGCGGCGGACGGGUGAGUAACACGUGGAUAACCUACCUAUAAGACUGGGAUAACUUCGGGAAACCGGAUCUAAUACCGGAUAAUAUUUUGAACCGCAUGGUUCAAAAGUGAAAGACGGUCUUGCUGUCACUUAUAGAUGGAUCCGCGCUGCAUUAGCUAGUUGGUAAGGUAACGGCUUACCAAGGCAACGAUGCAUAGCCGACCUGAGAGGGUGAUCGGCCACACUGGAACUGAGACACGGUCCAGACUCCUACGGGAGGCAGCAGUAGGGAAUCUUCCGCAAUGGGCGAAAGCCUGACGGAGCAACGCCGCGUGAGUGAUGAAGGUCUUCGGAUCGUAAAACUCUGUUAUUAGGGAAGAACAGAUGUGUAAGUAACUGUGCACAUCUUGACGGUACCUAAUCAGAAAGCAACGGCUAACUACGUG